UAAAUUUUGUGGGGGUGCCUAUAGGCUGAGAAGAUAUUAUUCUAACCCUUUGAACCUGAUCCAGUUAACUCUGGCGUAGGGAAGCAAGUUAUAGUAUAAC
Molecule: non-coding RNA, 100 nt
Filed under: Clostridium magnum
Lineage: Bacteria; Bacillati; Bacillota; Clostridia; Eubacteriales; Clostridiaceae
Also listed under: 1 other name
Description: TPP sequence
Rfam family: TPP riboswitch aptamer (THI element)
About the family: Vitamin B(1) in its active form thiamin pyrophosphate (TPP) is an essential coenzyme that is synthesised by coupling of pyrimidine and thiazole moieties in bacteria.
Source: RNAcentral